AUUUCUCUGAGAUGUUUGCAAGCGGGCCAGUCCCCUGAGCCGAUAUUUCAUACCACAAGAAUGUGGCGCUCCACGGUUGGUGAGCAUGCUCGGCAAACUGUGACGACACAUUCACCUUGAACCAAGGGUUCAAGGGUUACAGCCUGCGGCGGCAUCUCGGAGAUUCC
This 167-nucleotide non-coding RNA is filed under the name Citrobacter freundii. RNAcentral's name for it is "6S RNA". It matches the Rfam family "6S / SsrS RNA". Rfam says of the family: E. coli 6S RNA was the first non coding RNA to be sequenced, but its function was unknown until recently. It consists of 184 nucleotides that fold into an extended hairpin structure with a large single-stranded internal bulge. Lineage: Bacteria; Pseudomonadati; Pseudomonadota; Gammaproteobacteria; Enterobacterales; Enterobacteriaceae. The record is from RNAcentral.